RNAcentral lists this non-coding RNA (23 nucleotides) under Arabidopsis thaliana (thale cress). The record is from RNAcentral. Lineage: Eukaryota; Viridiplantae; Streptophyta; Magnoliopsida; Brassicales; Brassicaceae.
GAGGCUCAUCGCUUGCUACUUGG